Molecule: ribosomal RNA, 227 nt
Filed under: uncultured bacterium
Lineage: Bacteria
Description: partial 16S ribosomal RNA
Rfam family: Bacterial small subunit ribosomal RNA
Source: RNAcentral
UGAGCAAUCUGCCCUUCUCAUCGGAAUAACCAUUGGAAACGAUGGCUAAUGCCGAAUAUGACCUCGGAUCACAUGUUCUGAGGUGGAAAGCUCCGGCGGAGAAGGAUGAGCUCGCGGCCUAUCAGCUUGUUGGUGGGGUAAUGGCCCACCAAGGCGACGACGGGUAGCCGGCCUGAGAGGGCGACCGGCCACACUGGGACUGAGACACGGCCCAGACCUCUACGGGA